UGGGGAAUAUUGGACAAUGGGGGCAACCCUGAUCCAGCAAUGCCGCGUGUGUGAAGAAGGUCUUCGGAUUGUAAAGCACUUUCGACGGGGACGAUGAUGACGGUACCCGUAGAAGAAGCCCCGGCUAACUUCGUGCCAGCAGCCGCGGUAAUACGAAGGGGGCUAGCGUUGCUCGGAAUGACUGGGCGUAAAGGGCGUGUAGGCGGUUUACACAGUCAGAUGUGAAAUCCCCGGGCUUAACCUGGGAGCUGCAUUUGAUACGUGUAGACUAGAGUGUGAGAGAGGGUUGUGGAAUUCCCAGUGUAGAGGUGAAAUUCGUAGAUAUUGGGAAGAACACCGGUGGCGAAGGCGGCAACCUGGCUCAUGACUGACGCUGAGGCGCGAAAGCGUGGGGAGCAAACAGGAUUAGAUACCCUGGUAGUCCACGCCUGUAAACGAUGUGUGCUAGAUGUUGGGUAA
This 459-nucleotide ribosomal RNA is filed under the name uncultured bacterium. RNAcentral's name for it is "partial 16S ribosomal RNA". It matches the Rfam family "Bacterial small subunit ribosomal RNA", at positions 355 to 830 of the family's 1533-position model. The record is from RNAcentral.